AAGAAGCUUGCAGACGAUAGAAACAGCGAUGAGCAAGUAGAGAGAAUUGAAUUGGUGGUUUCUGAUGUUGAUGCGAGGGAUACAGAAGAUGAGGUCUUUGAGGAAGCUAUCGACAGUUCGAAGCCUGAAUCUUUUCAAGCCGAUGAUGGGUUACACGAGGAUUCACCUUCAGAGGAAGUGAAAGAUUCCAAGGUUAAUGGAGAGAGCCAUGGUGAGGCAAACGGGCAAGAUAUAACUACGGGAGAGGCUGUACCAGGUUUUGUGACUUCCCGAAUGAAUGGUGUUGAAGGGGAAGCAAGUGCAGGGAAUGUCAGCGAUACAGCUACACUUUCUUUUUCUGAAAAUGGAACUGUCUCUCUUGAGAAGAAAGCUGUUCUCCUCUCUUUCGGGUAAGCUUUUAGGGUUUCAUUUUUAAUGAAUUCGUCUUGUAUGUAUAUCUUUGAAAAGAGACGAGUAUUCUAGAGUUUGUGGUGAUAAUCCUGAGCUACGGGUUUGUUUCUGCUCUAUCUUUUCUGUUAGGGUUGCUGGAAAUUAUAUCAAGGGUUAAGCAUUUUUGUUUGGUUAGUGCAAUGAUUGGUGAUUUCGUUUUGGUUAUGGUUGUGAGCAGGUCAGAUAUGGAAGAGAAGAAGCUUGUAGACGAUAGAAUCAGCGAUGACCAAGUAGAUAACAACAUAUUGCUGGUUUCUAAUGUUGAUGCGAGGGAUACCGUAGAUGAGGUAUUUGAGGAAGCUAUUAACGGUUUCCAAGACGAUGAUGGGUUGCACGAGGAUUUACCUCGAGAGGCAACUCCUGCAGUUUACAUGGAUGAUCUGGAAGAAGUGAGUAGCAAUGAGAAGGAAGUGAUAGAUUCCAUGGUUAGUGGAGAGAGCCAUGGGGAGGCAAACGUGCAAGAUAUAACUACGGGAGAGGCUGCACCAGGUUUUGUGACUUUCAAAAUGAAUGGUGAUGAGGGGAAGUCAGGUACAGAUAAUGUCAGCGAGACAGCUACACAUUCUUUUUCUGAAAAUGGAAAGAAACAACUGGUGGCUGAAGUGAUCGAGGAAACAAGGAAUGGUGGUAUAGAAGAGGAAAACAGGGAUGAAAAUGUUGAUGUAUCAGCUGGCAGAGGAACAGAACAAGAGGCACAAAGAAAUGGUGAGACUGCUGCCGAUUACAACACUGUUAAACGUGCUUCAGGUGAGAGAUCCUUGAAUGAUAGUAUAGCUUGUGCUGGGACCUUAUCUCCAUUGGAGAAAUCUAGUUCUGAGGAAAAGGGAGAGACUGAAGGUCACAUCAGUAGAGAGCAUGAUACUGUUCAAAACAGUAAGGGAGGACUUGGUGUUGAACAUACUUCUCAACCUAAUAAGGAAUUUGAGAAGAAGCAAGGCAGCAGAGUGAAUAUGAGUCCAGAGAUUCAGGAAAGCCCACAUUUGGAAAGAAAAUCUGAGGAAGCAAGUUCUGUUUCACCAACAGAAUCUACAAGUAAUACUGCAGCGUCACCUCCUGCUCGCCCAGCAGGCCUUGGGCGUGAUGCUCCUCUUUUGGAAUCCACACCACGUGUUCCUCAUCAGCCUCGUGUCAAUGGUAAUGUGUCUCAGAAUCAGUCUGAGCAAGCAGAGGACCCUACCCCUGCAGAGACCGAUGAGCAUGAUGAGACCCGUGAGAAGCUCCAAUUGAUCAGGGUCAAGUUUUUGAGGCUUUCACAUAGAUUAGGGCAAACUCCACAUAAUGUUGUUGUUGCUCAGGUUUUGUAUAGGCUUGGAUUAGCAGAGCAGUUGAGGGGGAGAAACGGAAGCCGUGUUGGUGCCUUUAGUUUUGAUCGAGCCAGUUCCAUGGCAGAACAACUUGAGGCAGCUGGACAGGAUCCACUUGAUUUUUCUUGUACAGUUAUGGUGCUCGGUAAAAGUGGUGUUGGUAAGAGUGCUACGAUUAAUUCUAUUUUUGAUGAACCGAAAAUCUGUACCGAUGCAUUUCAGAUGGGGACAAAGAGGGUUCAGGAGGUUGAGGGUUUUGUUCAGGGAAUUAAGGUUCGGGUGAUUGACACUCCAGGUCUCUUACCAUCAUGGUCUGAUCAACACAAGAAUGAGAAAAUGUUGAAGUCUGUUAAGGCUUUCAUCAAGAAAAAUCCACCGGAUAUCGUAUUAUAUCUUGAUAGGCUGGAUAUGCAAAGCAGAGAUUCUGGUGACACUCCUCUCUUGCGCACCAUCACUGAUGUUUUUGGACCAUCGAUAUGGUUUAAUGCCAUUGUGGGUUUGACUCAUGCCGCUUCUGCUCCACCAGAUGGCCCAAAUGGCACUGCCUCUAGCUAUGACAUGUUUGUAACACAACGUUCUCAUGUCAUUCAGCAGGCCAUUCGCCAAGCAGCUGGAGAUAUGAGGCUCAUGAACCCUGUGUCUUUAGUUGAGAACCACUCUGCUUGCAGGACAAAUCGGGCAGGUCAGAGAGUAUUGCCGAAUGGCCAAGUGUGGAAGCCUCAUUUGCUGUUACUCUCAUUUGCGUCCAAGAUUCUAGCAGAAGCAAAUGCUCUUCUGAAAUUACAAGAUAAUAAUACUCCAGGGAGACCAUUUGUAGCUCGAUCCAAGGCUCCACCACUGCCACUUCUCCUCUCAUCGUUUCUGCAAUCAAGACCGCAAGCUAAACUUCCUGAAGAGCAGUAUGGUGAUGAAGAAGAUGAAGAUGAUUUGGACGAAUCAUCAGGUUCUGACGAAGAAUCAGAGUACGACCAGCUUCCUCCUUUUAAGCGUUUGACUAAAGCUGAGAUGGGUAGUCUUAGUAAAUCUCAGAAGAAGGAAUAUCUUGAUGAGAUGGAGUACCGGGAGAAACUAUUUAUGAAGAGGCAGAUGAAAGAGGAAAGAAAGAGACGUAAGAUGAUGAAGAAAUUUGCUGCCGAGAUUAAAGAAUUUGCUAACGGGCAUAGUGAAAAUGUGGAAGAGGAGAGAAGUGAACCUGCUUCUGUUCCAGUUCCCAUGCCAGAUUUGUCUCUACCUGCAUCGUUCGACUCUGACAACCCUACUCACAGGUACCGGUCUCUUGAUUCCUCCAAUCAGUGGCUUGUUAGGCCAGUCCUGGAAACUCAGGGGUGGGAUCAUGAUGUUGGGUAUGAAGGUGUCAAUGCAGAACGACUUUUUGUUGUUAAAGAAAAGAUACCGAUAUCUUUCUCGGGGCAAGUUACAAAGGACAAAAAGGAUGCAAAUGUGCAGCUGGAAAUGGCCAGCUCGGUUAAACAUGGAGAGGGCAGAUCAACCUCCCUAGGUUUUGAGAUGCAAAAUGCUGGGAAGGAAUUGGCUUACACUGUUCGAAGUGAUACCAAAUUUAACAAUUUUAGGAAACACAAAGCUGCAGCUGGUCUCUCUGUAACGCUCUUGGGUGAUUCGGUGUCUGCGGGGCUGAAAGUUGAGGAUAAGUUGAUUGCUAAUAAAAGGUUCAGAAUGGUUAUGUGUGGAGGGGCAAUGACUAGUCGAGGAGAUGUUGCUUAUGGGGGUAGUUUAGAAGCUCAGCUGAGAGAUAAAGAUUAUCCGCUGGGUAGGUUUUUAUCUACUCUAGGACUUUCUGUGAUGGAUUGGCAUGGGGAUCUUGCUAUUGGAGGGAAUAUACAGUCCCAGGUGCCCAUAGGACGUUCAUCUAAUCUAAUAGCUCGUGCUAAUCUGAACAACAGAGGGGCAGGGCAAGUAAGCCUCCGCGUAAAUAGCUCUGAGCAGCUCCAACUUGCACUGGUCGCAUUGGUUCCUCUGUUCAAGAAGCUACUUAGUUAUUAUUCCCCUCAGCAAAUGGAAUAUUGACAAUAAUGGAUCACUUCGGGUUUCAAUUCACUUACUACAAGAACAUCCUAGAUUGAGAGUUGAAAAGGUACUAAUCUAUCUGCUUUUGCUUUCUUAUUCCAUUUGCUGUAAACCCGCUUUAUUGAUUGCUGAUGUGGCUUUUGGUUUUUGAGCAGGAACCUUGGUGUGCCCUUUGGGUUGAAAACUUUAAGAACAAUUUGUUGGAGGAGGCCUCUGUUUUCUUUACAUAGCCAGAACACUUGUUCGUUCCUUGUCUAAUUUAAGCAUAGUUGUGGUUUUAUUCUCUUUCCAAAACCUUUGUAUGGCUUUCUGUUCAUGUCUACCUCUGGAUUUUUCAUAAAGCUUGUUAAAAUUAUGCUGCAAUCUACUUGUUGAUUUUAAGACACCCAUCAUCACCCUCUGAGCUAGCCGUAAUUCAAGGCUUUUAAAGGGAGUUUUGUAGGGGUCCUUAUCAUCUGCUAAACGUCUUUUAAUGUUGUCAAGCAUCUAUUGUAAGCUGCUUUGGAAAGUCAAAGUUGCUGGUAACUUUUGUUGCGCCAGUUCGUAUUAUGCGUCUUUCCCUCAAAUCAAAAGAUUCUGUUGUUGAUACUGUUACUGCGAAUCUCACAUUGUCACGUUGAGUCCCACCAAAUCCAUUGGUUUGGUGCUCAUGCAAUCCAUCUGCGAGACUUCUGUUACACAAUUUGCUCUUGUUAGCAGCGAGAUGUGGUAGCUUUGGUCUUGUUGUCAUUAUAAAAGCUUCUGUGGUGGAAAUACCGUUUGGAUUUGCCAGUUCUUAACGGAAGAGAUUAUCUAUGUGAAAGUUGUCACUGCAUGUUUUGACUUGUCUAAUAUUGUCGAGUAGGAAGCUUUUAAUGGGAGAAGAUGGUAGACAAGAAGUUUACAGUGUUGGGCUGCAAGAGUAUGAAGUCUCAGAUGUUCAAAUUGUAAGGUACUUAUCGAGAAAGGGAACGCUGAAAGGAGCACAGGGUCAACUGGAGCAAAUGGGGAGUCAUCUAGAUCACAUGCUAUCUUACAACUUGUUGGAAAGAAACACGUUUUGAGGUAAAAGAAACCAGACGUAAAAAUGAUGAUGCCAAUGAAUUGCCUGGGAAAGUUGUUGGGAAGAGUACUUUCAUUGAUCUUGCUGGCAGUGAAAUAGGUGCAGACACCACAGACAAUGACCGCCAGACAAGGUGAGAAUGCUCUCUAGACGUCGUGGCUGAGUACUGAUGUGGGACCCACAAAUGACGCUGGAGAUGAUGUCAUGGCACGCUGGCAAUGAUCAGCGUUAUCUUUCAAACCUUCUCAUGCAGGUACUUUGCUUUCCCUGAGUCUUUCUUUCCAUUACACUCUUCCAAUAACUUGCAUGCCUUGUAGGUGGUAAUUGCCAAUGUUUUGUUAGAGCUUUGGUUCGCUGAAUGCUGAGUAUGAAUGUAAGCUUGGAAUCUUUUUGACCAUCCUUGUGAAUUGUGCUUAUCUUGCUAGAAUUUGUUUCAGGGCAUGUUAGUAAUUUAUCUCUUUCGAUUGGUAAUUUUCUUAGCUAUAGAAACUUUACUGGCUGGCUGCUUUGUGUUUGUUUUUGCUGUAUCUGCCACGGUUAUGGAGCUCAGACUGCUGGAGAGAAUCAAAAGCUUUUCAAACUAAUGUGAAAUCUGAAUCUCUACGGAGAGUACUCUGAAUCAUAUAUACACCAUCAGCAGCUUUUCAAACUAAUGUGAAAUCUGAAUCUCAACGGAGAGUACUCUGAAUCAUAUAUACACCAUCAGCAGCUAUGCCUUCUUCGGAAGGAUUUUUUUUCCACCCGAGUUCAGAGAUGAUUUUGGAGCUUGUUUGAUGGGAUCUUCAUGCAGUGGAUGACUCAGAGCUUCUCUCUGAGGUACGUUUGGAAGGACAACUAGACAUAGAUCAUUCAUAGUUAUGUUGAUUGGUAUGUUCUGUAGAAACUAUAGCCUCUCUUGAAACUAAUUCUCAGCUUCUCUUAACUUCAGACCGUGAAGAGAAAGUGUCACCACCUCGUGGGAAAGGGUUGCGGGAAGAAAAACCAGCCAGACCACAAAACAUGUCUAAGAGAGACGUCAGGUCGUCAGAUAUCCCCUACCUUUACAAACUUUAGGCAGACACAAGUAAGCCAUACAUAUAUAUAUAUAACCGACCCUUCACUUGAUGAAAACAUCGAUGCACUGUUUGAUGUAAAAUUUAACCAAUUUAGUAAGCCAUACAUAUAUAUAUAUAUAUAAAAAAACAAUCACGUUUGUAAUAGCUAAUAUAAAAUAUUUGCGACUGACAAUAAUAGAAAAGACAGGUGAGUAACUCCAAGAAAGAAGAAAACAAGUAUCUGUCUCGUGUAGUGAUGGCAAAAAGGCCAACAAGAUUUAGCAGCCCACCUAAAAGGCCUUGGCCCACUUCAUGUUUCCACCGUACGAUGCUUAAACCCAAAACGGAUAUCCACCGUCCCUGGAAAGCUCUUAUCUCCCUCCUCCUCCACCUUCCCCGUCAGAAGUUUGCCUCUCUCCCUCUCUCUCUCUAAACGAGGUUAGCUUUCUCUUUUUUUUUGUAUAAGCUUUUAGGGGUUUCAUUUUCAAUGAUAGAGAUGAGUAUUCCAGAGUUUCGUUUCUGCUCUAAUUUUAUCGUUAGGGUUAAGCCUUUUUAGUCUGAUUGAUUCGUGAUUUCGUUUUGUUUAUGGUUGUAAGUAGGUAUGGAAGAGAAGAAGCUUGCAGACGAUAGAGUCAUCGAUGACCAAGUAGAGAAAAUUGAAUUGGUGGUUUCUGAUGUUGAUGCGAGGGAUACCGAAGAUGAGGAAGCUAUUGACAGUUCAAAGCCUGAAUCUCUCCAAGCCGAUGAUUUACCUUCAGAGGAAGUGAAAGAUCCAAAGGAGAUUAUUGGAGAGAGCCAUGGUGAGGCAAACCUGCAACAUAUA
RNAcentral lists this long non-coding RNA (6657 nucleotides) under Brassica rapa (field mustard). RNAcentral's name for it is "long non-coding RNA (BRAP_LNC003844)". Lineage: Eukaryota; Viridiplantae; Streptophyta; Magnoliopsida; Brassicales; Brassicaceae. The record is from RNAcentral.